GCAUUCAUUUCAAUUCCAAUAACCUAGAGAAAAUGUCAAGCAAACAAAUGAUAAUAUAAACAAGCUUCAGCAAAACUUACUAUUUUCAUUUUAAAUUUUUAAGAGCUGGAAUUUUGAGUGCUAUGGAUAGGUGAACAUAAAAAAUCCCAAUCACAAAGCAAGACUAAAACAAAUAUAUUCGGCAGAUGACCACUACCAUUCCAACACGAUGUGCUAA
Molecule: unclassified non-coding RNA, 217 nt
Filed under: Hevea brasiliensis (rubber tree)
Lineage: Eukaryota; Viridiplantae; Streptophyta; Magnoliopsida; Malpighiales; Euphorbiaceae
Source: RNAcentral